This is a transfer RNA of Smittium mucronatum, 72 nucleotides long. It matches the Rfam family "tRNA". From Rfam's summary of the family: Transfer RNA (tRNA) molecules are approximately 80 nucleotides in length. NCBI's taxonomy places the organism in Eukaryota, Fungi, Kickxellomycota, Harpellomycetes, Harpellales, Legeriomycetaceae. The record is from Rfam.
GGUUGUGUAGUGUAAUGGUUAGCACCCAAGACUCUGAAUCUUGUAAUCCGAGUUCGAGUCUCGGCACGACCU